CGUAGGGGCAAGCGUUAUCCGGAUUUACUGGGUGUAAAGGGAGCGCAGACGGAACUGCAAGUCUGAUGUGAAAGCCCGGGGCUCAACCGCGGGACUGCAUCGGAUACUGUGGAUCUGGAGUGCCGGAGGGGCAAGCGGAAUUCCUGGUGUAGCGGUGAAAUGCGUAGAUAUCAGGAGGAACACCGGCGGCGAAGGCGGCUUGCUGGACGGCAACUGACGUUGAGGCUCGAAAGCGUGGGGAGCAAACAGGAUUAGAUACCCU
This 262-nucleotide ribosomal RNA is filed under the name uncultured prokaryote. RNAcentral's name for it is "partial 16S ribosomal RNA". It matches the Rfam family "Bacterial small subunit ribosomal RNA", at positions 526 to 788 of the family's 1533-position model. The record is from RNAcentral.